UUUCAAGGAAGUGAUUUUCUACCAAGAUCCUGUUUACUUUUCCCUUGCAAUUAAGUUGCAGAAAGAUUAAAUGUCAAGAAUGUGGCAUUAGUUGGAAAAAAUGAGCCACAACCAUGUGAGGAUAAACAGCCAGCAUACUGUAGUGUCUGAUUUAGUUACAGGUAAUUUAGUAUUUUUCUUGCACUUUUGCAUUAGUACACUAAAAUUUUGCCAUGGUAAGGACAUGCAGUAUGGUUUUCAGCUUUAACUUUACCAUCUGUAAUUUAGAAGUGGAGUAAUUUGCUUCUUUGUCAAACAAACUGAAAAUUGAAUGUAAGUGCUGAAGUACUGUCUCUAUGAGAGCUGUAGUAAACACUUCACUGUCCUGUGCAGAUGCCUUAGUGAGUAAUCCCAAGCCCCUUCCACUAACACAUAUGCAGCAAAAUUGUAGCAGUAGCAGCAGGGUUGGGGUAUGUUGGAUCACAUUUGGUGCUCUGAUCAAGGUACUGUGGAGGGCGUUUUGGUCACCCACCUUUUAGAAGCACUAUGUAAUAUUCAGCACUUUCUUUUGGAAAAUGGAAACACAUCUUCUGAACUAUGAAUGGUGUAAUGUAAUUUUAAUGUUUAUUAUUUUUAAAAGUUUGGUUUCAGGACAUCUGUGGAAGAAGAUGAAUAAAUGUAUCAAGGAAUAAUAAAGAUGUGGAUUACAAGGCCACUUCAGUCCAAUAAGCAGUGUCUGAAGAUGCCUCUUUUUAUGACCAAGCUAGUACUUUUGAGUAAGAGUAGAUAUACAUCAGUAAAACUGGACUCUGUCGUUCUUCCCCUCGGCCCGGCAUGCCAUGGCAUCCUUCCGUGGGGCAGGCCCGUGGUGACAGCCCACAGUGGUACAGGGGUUGUGAUGUGCGUGCCCCGCUCCCGCGGCCAUGCUGAGUGACACAGAGGAGUGGCUGCUGAUGACACCCACAGCUGUCCCCCACCCCGUGCCUCAGCGGCGGCCAGGCCCUGCUGUCCCCGGGGCUGGCGCCUGGCCGCAGCCUGCCUCGGGGGCCGCCUCCCGGCCCCGCCUGCCGGGCAGCCUGGCAACCCCCGCGGCAACAGCCCGGCCCAACCGCCCGGCAGCGGCGGCCAUGAGGGCGGCGGGCCGGCAGAUGCCCGCGGCGGCGGCCGGGGAGCCGGGCAGCCACGCCCGCGGCGAGCAGCCCCGGCAGAAAUGUGUAUAUGUUGAGCCACCUAGGAGAGUUAAAGAAAUACUGGAGGAGCACUUUCAUUUACAAGAAGAAGAAUGCAAGAUCAAUCAUCCAGCUGCAGUGGCUCUGGAAGAAGUUUGGAAUGUGAAGAACAAUUUCUCCAUUAGAAGCCUGAAACCAGUGUCACGGAACAGCAGUGACUUACUUUUACAGCCUCAAUUCUACUCAAGACAUGCAAGAAUGAAAAUAAGUAGGCAACAGACUUUGAAAUCUUUGCAGAAGAAAUCUGUUCAGGACUGCUGUGUUGAGUCACCUUAUUUCAUAUUCUGAAACCUUUUGUAAAGGUUCCUCAUCUAUUUUGUGGAAUAAUCACUUGGUUCCUACUGAUAGAUGAUUGCUGAAUGUCAAUGCUGUGAAGACCUGAGCCUGCUUUGAUGUGUCAAAUGAAACGUCAGCAUAACUAGCUACCUUUGGAAAUGCAGAUGUUUUUUAUAGGAUUUUGAAUAAAGUUCUAAUUGAAUAUGGAA
Vidua chalybeata is the source of this 1693-nucleotide RNA transcript. It is a transcript of the gene named chromosome 2 C11orf97 homolog, with no coding region annotated. The record is from RefSeq and is a predicted model, not a curated record. The transcript is spliced from 5 exons. NCBI's taxonomy places the organism in Eukaryota, Metazoa, Chordata, Aves, Passeriformes, Viduidae.